AUGUUUGCUGUUUCUCUUCAGUUCUUGUCCAGACAUUGUUGCGUGUACGUGCUCUGUCCCUCAUUGUAUGGUUGUAGCCUGCGCUGUCUCGUCUUGCUUGUUUCCUGCCUGUUCCCUGUCACUUCUUUGGAUUUUGGUUCACACACCUGUUUCUAGACUUUUCUGUUGGAUCACCUUUUGUUUUCUUGGACUACGUUAUUUUGGAUUCCCUCUGUUCAGCCACUCUGUUUGUAAGUGGGCUCGCUCUCAGUUUGUUUCAUUAAACCUUUUGAACUAUACCUGCUCCGCUCUGCGUCCUGCGUUUGGAUCCACCAACCUGCUCACCAAACCGAAUCCUGAGACCCAGAAUUCUGAGAGCUGCUCCAGUGAAACCAGCUCACAAAGAUUCAGCCACCUGCGGGCUACCUGAAUUUUGUGUCUAUUUGUUUCUGACCUUCAUCUCUCUGUGUCUCCCCUCUGAGCAUCUGCUCCAAAUAUUCUGUACUGGGCUGUUCAUUGCAGCCCCUCUCCACCUCUCUGUUUCUCUGUCUGUAUUGAUGUAGCAUUCAAAUUCAAAUGUUUAGUUUGAAUAAUAAACAAAAUAGAAAUGACAGAUUGGCUGACAUGAAUAAGCUAUAGAUUACAUCAAAAAUGGACCGACAUGGAUAAUCAUAAUAAUCUUUAUUAAAGAUUUAACAAAGAUAUAAACUGCUCUACGUGGUUGAUCCAGGAUUAAAAUAUUUCAAUAGGCAAUGAGGCAAAUCAAAUCAGACAAUUAAACAAAUCCAAAAAUAAAAUGGAAUAGAUAACCGAUAAUAACAAGAUUCUUGUCAAUUGCAUAUGAAUAACUAUUAAACUAAGUGAAAGCAUUCUCACCCAAUCCCUUUAACUUUGUUUUGGUUUUGCAGCACAUUUACAGUAAAACCAAAACUGUAAGGUUUAGUCUCAGUGCUCUCAUCUGUCUUCAGCAGAGCAUCUCUGGUUCAACCACUGUAGCUAAACCAAUUAUUCAACAUCAAACAGCACACAGACAAAGUUAGCAAGUAACUGGUGAACGAAGUUGAAAAUCUAGCAGCUAAAGUGACAGAGACAGUAUUUAGCAGUAGGUGGAGACCAGAUGCUUAAAUUAUGUUUAAAUAGAAAAUUGAUUGCUAACAUGUUAGCCAUAGAAAUUAACAUGAUGAUAAUUAUCAAUACAAAUUUUAUCUUAUCCAUGUCCUCAUGUGGCAUUGUUCUUACGACACCAUAAUGUUCCUGCUCUGUGUAGAAAAAGCAGAGGCAACACCAGACUGCCAGGGAGGUUAAACCAGAGUCCACAAGACAUCAUCACACAAUAACUAUUUCCUAUCGACAUAGUAAAAACACCCAAAAAACUAAAACUAAUAAGUGAGUUAUUACAACUUAUUUAUUUAACACGUGCUUCAGUACUUGGGGCGAAAGUUCUGAAAACACACAUGCCUUUGUUGUGAAAUGCGGGAAAGCCAACUUAAACCGUUGAUGUUUGUCCUUCCACUUCUCUGACUGGCUAUUAUGGAUCAGAGCAACACUUGAGAGCACCCAGAUUUGAAUGCUGUGCAAAUUCUGUAAGUUCACCUACGACAGUGAAGCAGACUGGCCUUGCAUCCAUAGACUGUCCUGAAUUUAGACACAGCUGGCUCAGAUAGGUGAUGGGAUGAACGACAGCCAGGUAGCGCUCCACACAGGUCAGGAUCUGAAAGUACGUCUCUCCAUACCAGGUGAAGGACCAAAGACAAAACCCUACAAAAGAUACAAUCACAUGAUCCCUAUAGAGACCACAAAGGAUGAGGAUACAUCCGAAGACACCAAUCAGCUCCAUGGCAACCAUGUGGUAGGUGAAGCUGUCUGAGUGACUCGUCAUUGCUGCUGUGGAGGUGGAGCGUCGUUGUUGAAGACCCAGGUAGAGGAUGAGGAUACAGAGAGGGAGGAGGAGGAUGAUGUUUGUGCUGAAGUACAUGGUGUAUAUUGAGAAGCCUGUUCUGGUGAAGAAGCACUCAGUCCCAGAAAGGAGGUAGGAGUUGAUGGAGGACAGAUUAGGAUGAAGAAGAGAGUGAUUGGAGGAGAAAGAGUUUGCUGACAUAUCUGUAAAAGAAAGACAUUAAAAUUAAAUUUAAAAAAUGUAUGAAUUACAUCUAUUGUAUGUCUUUCAAUCCAAGAAGACGGACAGGUCAUUCACUGUUCCUACUGCUGUUUUAUUUUUUAUUUUUAAGUUUUGAAUUCACUGAUCUAAAGAUUAACUGUAAAGUCCUUUAACACACUUCAAUGCUUUUGAAUUACUUAAGAACUGACGUGACUUUACAGUUGCUGAGUUUAAAGUGGGCUCAUCCCUUUUUUUAGAUGUCUUCUUUGGAGUAUCACUGCAUGCACAUGAGCUACAUCUUUUAGAUAAUCAUUAUAACGUGAGUUUAGUAAUUUUGUACAACCUAUACGUGAGAUUCUGAGUAUCUGAGUGUUUUUCAAGAUAUUUAAAUGUAGUUAGGAGAUUGAAUAUUUAAAUUAAAUUUAACAUCUGGACAGAAAAACAACCUGAAAUGAAUGCUAUUAUUGCUAUAUUUCCUAACAUGUUUGUCAAAACAAUUUCAUGAGGUUGAUAUAUGUAAAUGUUGUGUUUACAGCUUGUUGAAUAAAAUUAUCAUGAUCAUGA
Molecule: long non-coding RNA, 2641 nt
Organism: Micropterus salmoides (largemouth bass)
Lineage: Eukaryota; Metazoa; Chordata; Actinopteri; Centrarchiformes; Centrarchidae
Exons: 3
Source: RefSeq, a predicted model, not a curated record